This 280-nucleotide long non-coding RNA is filed under the name Solanum tuberosum (potato). RNAcentral's name for it is "long non-coding RNA (STUB_LNC007320)". Lineage: Eukaryota; Viridiplantae; Streptophyta; Magnoliopsida; Solanales; Solanaceae. The record is from RNAcentral.
AAUUGAAUAAAAAAAAUAUGAAUAAAUAAAAUAUCAUAUACCAAUUAAAAAGUAAUUAUAUCAAAAGAAAGAAGAAAUUUAAACUAUAUGUAAUAUAUUUGUAUAUUAAUUUUUCAAUAGUACUAACAAUACUAAAUAAUAAUCUCUUGAAAUCUAACAAAUAUUAUAAUCAAAAUACAUUAUAUCUCAAAAACUGACUAUUAGAAAGAACAAUUACAUACUGCCAACACAUUAAUCAUUAUUAAAAAUGUAUUUUUUUAAUCAUACCUUCUUAGUGAAC